RNAcentral lists this ribosomal RNA (490 nucleotides) under uncultured bacterium. RNAcentral describes it as "partial 16S ribosomal RNA". It matches the Rfam family "Bacterial small subunit ribosomal RNA", at positions 30 to 507 of the family's 1533-position model. The record is from RNAcentral.
AUUGAACGCUGGCGGCAGGCCUAACACAUGCAAGUCGAACGGUAACAGGAAGAAGCUUGCUUCUUUGCUGACGAGUGGCGGACGGGUGAGUAAUGUCUGGGAAACUGCCUGAUGGAGGGAGAUAACUACUGGAAACGGUAGCUAAUACCGCAUAACGUCGCAAGACCAAAGAGGGGGACCUUCGGGCCUCUUGCCAUCGGAUGUGCCCAGAUGGGAUUAGCUAGUAGGUGGGGUAACGGCUCACCUAGGCGACGAUCCCUAGCUGGUCUGAGAGGAUGACCAGCCACACUGGAACUGAGACACGGUCCAGACUCCUACGGGAGGCAGCAGUGGGGAAUAUUGCACAAUGGGCGCAAGCCUGAUGCAGCCAUGCCGCGUGUAUGAAGAAGGCCUUCGGGUUGUAAAGUACUUUCAGCGGGGAGGAAGGGAGUAAAGUUAAUACCUUUACUCAUUGACGUUACCCGCAGAAGAAGCACCGGCUAACUCCGUG